RNAcentral lists this microRNA precursor (108 nucleotides) under Canis lupus familiaris (dog). RNAcentral describes it as "mir-8834 microRNA precursor family". It matches the Rfam family "mir-8834 microRNA precursor family". Lineage: Eukaryota; Metazoa; Chordata; Mammalia; Carnivora; Canidae. The record is from Rfam by way of RNAcentral.
AGAAGGAACAACCGCAGUGGCAGCGGUUAGCUCUGGAGCCCUGGAUUCAGCUCACGCAGUAACUAUGGAGCUCUCCACCUGCAGGGGCCUGGAGGCUCCAGAGGCGGG